This 508-nucleotide ribosomal RNA is filed under the name uncultured bacterium. RNAcentral's name for it is "partial 16S ribosomal RNA". It matches the Rfam family "Bacterial small subunit ribosomal RNA", at positions 28 to 507 of the family's 1533-position model. The record is from RNAcentral.
GACGAACGCUGGCGGCGUGCCUAAUACAUGCAAGUCGAACGCUUCUUUCCUCCUGAGUGCUUGUACUCAAUUGGCAAGAGGAGUGGCGGCCGGGUGAGUAACACGUCUGUAAUUUACCCAUCCGUCGGGGAUAACACUUGGAUACAGGUGCUAAUCCCGCAUAACAGUUUAUGCCGCAUGGCAUUAGAGCGAAAGGCGCUUUCGGGUGUCGUUGUUGGAUGGAUCGGCGGUGCAUUAGCUAGCAGGUGGGGUAACGGUUCACCAAGGCGAGGAGGCACAGCCGAAGUGAGAGGCGGAUCGGCCACAUGGGAGCGGGGCCACGGACCAUACUCCUACGGGAGGGAGCAGAAGGGAACGGGCGGCAAUGGUCGAAAGUAUGACCGAGCGGGGCCGCGUGAGUGGAGAAGGCGUUCGGUGCGUAAAGCUCGGUUUUGGGUGAAGAACAGCGUCGUUAGUAACUGAACGUCGCCUGACGGUAACGAACCAAAAAGCAACGGCUAACUACGUG